UACGGGGGGGGCAAGCGUUGUUCGGAAUUACUGGGCGUAAAGGGCUCGUAGGUGGCCAACUAAGUCAGACGUGAAAUCCCUCGGCUUAACCGGGGAACUGCGUCUGAUACUGGAUGGCUUGAGUUUGGGAGAGGGAUGCGGAAUUCCAGGUGUAGCGGUGAAAUGCGCAGAUAAUCAGGAGGAACACCGAUGGCGAAGGCAGGUCUCGUGGGCAUUAACUGACGCUGAGGAGCGAAAGCAUGGGGAGCGAACAGG
RNAcentral lists this ribosomal RNA (255 nucleotides) under uncultured bacterium. RNAcentral describes it as "partial 16S ribosomal RNA". It matches the Rfam family "Bacterial small subunit ribosomal RNA", at positions 524 to 776 of the family's 1533-position model. The record is from RNAcentral.